AAGAAUUUAAGUUAAAAAAACUAGUAGCCUUCAAAGCCACAAAUAAAAAUUAUUUUAAUUCUUA
This 64-nucleotide transfer RNA is filed under the name Curculionoidea sp. 31 KM-2017. Its description in RNAcentral is "tRNA-Trp". The record is from RNAcentral. Lineage: Eukaryota; Metazoa; Arthropoda; Insecta; Coleoptera.